GACGAACGCUGGCGGCGUGCUUAACACAUGCAAGUCGAACGGAAAGGCCCUGCUUUUGUGGUGUGCUCGAGUGGCGAACGGGUGAGUAACACGUGAGUAACCUGCCCUUGACUUUGGGAUAACUUCAGGAAACUGGGGCUAAUACCGGAUAGGAGCUCCUGCUGCAUUGUGGGGGUUGGAAAGUUUCGGCGGUUGGGGAUGGACUCGCGGCUUACCAGCUUGUUGGUGGGGUAGUGGCUUACCAAGGCUUUGACGGGUAGCCGGCCUGAGAGGGUGACCGGCCACAUUGGGACUGAGAUACGGCCCAGACUGCUACGGGAGGCAGCAGUGGGGAAUAUUGCACAAUGGGCGGAAGCCUGAUGCAGCAACGCCGCGUGCGGGAUGACGGCCUUCGGGUUGUAAACCGCUUUCGCCUGUGACGAAGCGUGAGUGACGGUAAUGGGUAAAGAAGCACCGGCUAACUACGUG
RNAcentral lists this ribosomal RNA (468 nucleotides) under uncultured bacterium. Its description in RNAcentral is "partial 16S ribosomal RNA". It matches the Rfam family "Bacterial small subunit ribosomal RNA", at positions 28 to 507 of the family's 1533-position model. The record is from RNAcentral.